This 1784-nucleotide unclassified non-coding RNA is filed under the name Hevea brasiliensis (rubber tree). Lineage: Eukaryota; Viridiplantae; Streptophyta; Magnoliopsida; Malpighiales; Euphorbiaceae. The record is from RNAcentral.
UUUAGUAGCUUCCUAGUGAGGAAAAUUAGAGGUAAGAUGCGUAAAUGCCAUUAAGUGACCCACGAGCUACGCAACUAAUCAGGGGAGAGCAAAAGAAAGGUUAAUUAUGUAACGCUAAUAAUACAAUUUAUAUUUCUAUCACUGUUAGAAUUCUGAAAUAAUAAAUUUAUCAAGAUCUCUAUACAAUGACUUAAAGCGUGGAGAGCGGCUUCGCAUUCACUGGCAAUUCGGAUGGUAAAUACUUUAUAAGUUCCUUGACAUCGUCUUCAGUAGAGGUUCACAAUCAAAAUUUGUAUGUUCCAUAAUUGGUCCAAGCCUAACUAGUUUCGGUAUAAUGAUAUUGUUCCGAACAGAACAAACAAUUGGGUCCUCCCACUGCAACAGCGAUCCGACGAGAUUUGCACGUAUGGUUAAUGGGAAGAUACGGGGCCAUCGUUCACUUCCAUAUGACCUGAAAGCAUCUUCUAUAGAUGCAGGUUCAGAGUUGAUUGCAUUUGCAAGCUUUCUUGCUAGAACUACAGAAUCCUCCAAUGCACAACAAGCACCUUGCCCCAGAUUGGGAGUCAUUGGGUGCCAUGCAUCUCCAACCAGCACAAUCCUUCCCGUUGAAGCAGAAGGGCUUAUGGCUGGCCACAGCCAACGAUCUACGAGGGGAGUUUUACUGACUGUUUCAUCUGGGGAUAGAUCUAUUAAGUUCAGUAGCUCAGAAGGCCAGUUCCUGAUAAGUUCCUUAGCUUGCUUCCUCAACUCAGAUGGAUUGGUAAUUUUUGGACCUGGAGAUGGGCUGUUGAAGCAGAUAAACCAGUACACUUUUGUUGGAGAAACAGGAACAUAUCCAGCACGUAAUCCCCUUCCAUAGACAUAAUUCACUCUUGGUUCGAAUGGAUGCCCAUCGGAAUAAACUCCUAGCCCGCGGAAUGCACAAUGCCCUACAUAUUUAGGUUCGGAGAAUCCCAUCCACUUCGCAACUGGAGAUCGAAUGCCAUCACAGCCAAUAACAAUCUUCGCAAGUAGCUGGUUUCCAUCCUUCAGUUUCAGAAGAGUCUCUCCAUUUUCACUUGUCUCAAUCUUUUCCAGCCCUGAAGAAAAAUGGACUGCUUCUGUUGGCAACUGAUUGGCAAGAGUUUCCAGAAGUAUUCUCCUCUCCACUGCACGAACUUCUUGGCUUUCAUCUUCAUCUUUAAACAUGAAGGAGCGAAGCUCCCUUCCAUCUUCCGACUUCACCACCAUCCUGCACAGCCUUGAAUUUCAAGAAAUUGGCUCCUGAGAUGACUACCAACUCCGAUUACGUCCAAUACCCUCCAACCAUUUUUGAAAAGGGUGAGUGAGGUUCCACCAGUUCUAAGUGAUUCUGCCUGCUCCAGCACCACUGAUCGAAUUCCGAGCCUAAACAUAAAUAGUUCCGCUAGAGUUACGUAUAUGAUAAAAGAGAAUGCUGAUGGCUGAUGGUUUAAGCUAAUCUGACCUCUGGAGAGACACUGCAGUGGCAAGGCCAGCAAUCCCAGCACCCACGAUGACGAUAUCCUCCUUGCUAACAUCAGAUUUUACAGCUCUAGUAAUUGACAAAGAGGUGGUUCUGGUUCUGGUGCGGAGAAGAAACCAAGAUUGGGCUUUUGGGAAUUGUGGAGUAGGAGGAAACUGAAGAGUAGAUGAUGAGAAAUGGGAGUUAAGGAAGGGAAGCGAGGAAGAGGCUACCGCCAUUGAUGAUGUUGGGGGCACAGCAAAAGCAGAGACCUGAGAGGGAGAGGAAAAACAAGUGGUGGAGAUGAAAGGGUUGGCGUUCA